RNAcentral lists this ribosomal RNA (420 nucleotides) under bacterium. Its description in RNAcentral is "partial 16S ribosomal RNA". It matches the Rfam family "Bacterial small subunit ribosomal RNA", at positions 355 to 776 of the family's 1533-position model. The record is from RNAcentral. RNAcentral also lists the same sequence under 1 other name.
UGGGGGAUAUUGCACAAUGGGCGAAAGCCUGAUGCAGCGACGCCGCGUGGGGGAUGAAGGCUUUCGGGUUGUAAACCUCUUUCGCUAUCGAACAAGGCCCGCUUAGGGUGGGUUGAGGGUAGGUGGAGAAGAAGCGCCGGCUAACUACGUGCCAGCAGCCGCGGUAAUACGUAGGGCGCGAGCGUUGUCCGGAAUUAAUGGGCGUAAAGGGCUUGUAGGCGGCUUGUUGCGCCUGCUGUGAAAACGCGGGGCUUAACUUCGCGCGUGCAGUGGGUACGGGCAGGCUUGAGUGUGGUAGGGGUGACUGGAAUUCCAGGUGUAGCGGUGGAAUGCGCAGAUAUCUGGAGGAACACCGAUGGCGAAGGCAGGUCACUGGGCCAUUACUGACGCUGAGGAGCGAAAGCAUGGGUAGCGAACAGG